RNAcentral lists this long non-coding RNA (1008 nucleotides) under Oryctolagus cuniculus (rabbit). RNAcentral describes it as "lncRNA (ENSOCUG00000033902.1)". The record is from RNAcentral. Lineage: Eukaryota; Metazoa; Chordata; Mammalia; Lagomorpha; Leporidae.
GGCCAAGGGAAAUGGCGACCCAGCCAGUAUAAGGUGAUAACACUUGUUAGGGACAGCCAAGACAUUUGUCUCAGUCCCUUGCUUGUCAUGCCUGGAGCUCCCAAUCAGCAUACACAUCAGGCUGCGAUGUGAAGGGAAAUGGCAAGGAGACGUUCAGGAUGUUGAGUUACGUUGGCUACUUCUUGCAGAUUCUAGCAAAAUCCUGUAAGAAAGCGAUGCAGUCAGAAAAGAUCUGUCAGCAGGGAGGGAAGCAAAGGAAUUGUUCUGAGAUUUUCCUGGCCGGUCCUCUGAGGUCUGAGUUGCCUGAACGUUUCCAUCAUUUGGAGAAUUUCUGGAGUGGGAAGCAGGGAGGUGCAGGCCUAGCAAGAGGCAGGGCUGACGGGACUGGAGCCCCAGCUCCCAGACUCCCCUUGUUCAGCAUGCCGGGACAGGCAGGCCUGCGGGCAGCCAUCCCAUCACCAGGGGGCCGCCGCCCUACCCAGCGCUCUGGCUUUGAAUCACCCCAGAGCAGCCGACGGGCAGCUAAGGAACAUCGAGGGUAUUUUAACACUUUAUUUUCAGAUUCUGGACCUUGCGGGGGGCCUCCUGCUUAGCAACAUGCAGCAUCGAAUCAGUUGAUCAAGGAUCCAAGCAUCACAGCCCUCAGUGCGGAUGUGGAAGGAAAUCCAGCCAGAUUCUGCUCCAAGAUACAGAUCAUGCACUAGCUAUAUAAGGCCCAUUUGAAUCAUCCACGCUCUUGUUCUCAAAAUGGCUUCUAACACAACGUAUGCCCAGACAUAACAAGGUCAUUUUUUCUAAUCCAAAUUGCAAUUCCAGUCCAAGAAGUGUAUUCAUUUGCAUGAAAUAUUCUUUCCAAGAAGUUCCUCCCAGGUGAGGAAUUUUAAGUGCGCUUCUUUCGACAGCAAAGGCAGACAAAUGGCUUCAGCUGGUCAAGGCUUAUAUUUCUCGCAGGAUAUUCCAAUUGGUUUCUCACUCCAUGGGAUCAAUAAACAGCCUGGCUUAUAUGCA